UACGUAGGGUGCAAGCGUUAAUCGGAAUUACUGGGCGUAAAGCGUGCGCAGGCGGUUUUGUAAGUCUGUCGUGAAAUCCCCGGGCUCAACCUGGGAAUUGCGAUGGAGACUGCAAGGCUAGAAUCUGGCAGAGGGGGGUAGAAUUCCACGUGUGAGCAGUGAAAUGCGUAGAGAUGUGGAGGAACACCGAUGGCGAAGGCAGCCCCCUGGGUCAAGAUUGACGCUCAUGCACGAAAGCGUGGGGAGCAAACGAGGAUACGAAACCGU
This 267-nucleotide ribosomal RNA is filed under the name uncultured bacterium. RNAcentral describes it as "partial 16S ribosomal RNA". It matches the Rfam family "Bacterial small subunit ribosomal RNA", at positions 524 to 788 of the family's 1533-position model. The record is from RNAcentral.